This 328-nucleotide ribosomal RNA is filed under the name Liothyrella neozelanica. RNAcentral's name for it is "partial 12S small subunit ribosomal RNA". The record is from RNAcentral. Lineage: Eukaryota; Metazoa; Brachiopoda; Rhynchonellata; Terebratulida; Terebratulidae.
GCAACUCCAAUANNNCUAGGACUACGANAGACCUUUAAACCCAAAGAACUUGGCGGCAUUCACACCCAAUCAGGGGAGCCUGUCCUAGAACUGAUACCCACAACUAACCCUACUUGCCCUCGCCCCCAGCCUGUAUACCGCCGUCGACAGCCCACCUACAAAAGAAAUAGUAUGCUCCAAGGGAAACCCCCCUCACGUCAGGUCAAGGUGCAGCCAAUGAGCAAGAAGAGAUGGGCUACAAUAACAAACAAAUCCCAACCUCCGAAUGAAAAAAGAGCAAAGAAGGACUUGAAAGUAAUAGGGCCAAGUGCCCUAUGAACCGGCAUAA